This 342-nucleotide ribosomal RNA is filed under the name uncultured fungus. RNAcentral describes it as "eukaryotic LSU rRNA". The stretch from base 1 to 125 matches the Rfam family "5.8S ribosomal RNA", at positions 30 to 154 of the family's 154-position model. The record is from RNAcentral. Lineage: Eukaryota; Fungi.
GCAUCGAUGAAGAACGCAGCGAAAUGCGAUAAGUAGUGUGAAUUGCAGAAUUCAGUGAAUCAUCGAAUCUUUGAACGCACAUUGCGCCCCUUGGUAUUCCAUGGGGCAUGCCUGUUCGAGCGUCAUUUGUACCUUCAAGCUCUGCUUGGUGUUGGGUGUUUGUCUCGCCUCUGCGCGUAGACUCGCCUCAAAACAAUUGGCAGCCGGCGUAUUGAUUUCGGAGCGCAGUACAUCUCGCGCUUUGCAUUCAGAACGACGACGUCCAAAAGUACAUUUUUACACUCUUGACCUCGGAUCAGGUAGGGAUACCCGCUGAACUUAAGCAUAUCAAUAAGCGGAGGA